Molecule: long non-coding RNA, 280 nt
Organism: Patella vulgata (common limpet)
Lineage: Eukaryota; Metazoa; Mollusca; Gastropoda; Patellidae
Exons: 3
Source: RefSeq, a predicted model, not a curated record
AAAAUCCAAUGUUAGAAUUUAACAAGAAAAUGAUACAUUAGCCAAUUUCUGAACUGACAUAGUGAAAUAUAGGAUAAGUAGGAUUUUUCUUUAACAAGUUAACCAUACCUCUCAGGUGCCAAGUUGUUUAAAAGUAGAUAGAGGGAUUCCUAAAACAACAAAUACCAGUUUGAAAGAAAAAAGAAACCCAGGUGGCGGUGGGAAGAAAUGUCCACAUAAGUCAUGGUCAUAAGCUGAAAAGAGUUACCUUACAUAUUAAUCAAAUGUCAAAGACUUCUCA